GCCAGCGUAGCUCAGGGGUAGAGCAACUGAUUCGUAAUCAGUAGGUCCGGGGUUCAAUUCCCCGCGCUGGCUCCA
This 75-nucleotide transfer RNA is filed under the name Nitrospinae bacterium CG11_big_fil_rev_8_21_14_0_20_56_8. RNAcentral's name for it is "tRNA-Thr". It matches the Rfam family "tRNA". Rfam says of the family: Transfer RNA (tRNA) molecules are approximately 80 nucleotides in length. Their secondary structure includes four short double-helical elements and three loops (D, anti-codon, and T loops). Further hydrogen bonds mediate the characteristic L-shaped molecular structure. tRNAs have two regions of fundamental functional importance: the anti-codon, which is responsible for specific mRNA codon recognition, and the 3' end, to which the tRNAs corresponding amino acid is attached (by aminoacyl-tRNA synthetases). tRNAs cope with the degeneracy of the genetic code in two manners: having more than one tRNA (with a specific anti-codon) for a particular amino acid; and 'wobble' base-pairing, i.e. permitting non-standard base-pairing at the 3rd anti-codon position. Lineage: Bacteria; Pseudomonadati; Nitrospinota. The record is from RNAcentral.